CAAGGAUAAGGUGGAUAGAUUUUGGUCAGCUGUAUAUCUCCAAGAAUUGAAGGAAAAAUCUUGGGUGUGACCUGAGCAUACAGCAGGAGUUGGGAGAUGGAGUAUGCAGCGGGAGUUGGGAGAUGGAGUAUGCAGCAGGAGUUGGGAGAUGGAGUAUGCAGCGGGAGUUGGGAGAUGGAGUAUGCAGCAGGAGGUGCCCUCACCUGGGCAGGUGCUCACCCUGAUCCGCAGCCGCUGCCUCUCUCACUCGCUGUCAAAGCGGCUGCCCAAGUCAGCUGGUAAAAGGAUACAGGUAUUAUAUUAAAUGCAAAGAUGAAUAUCAUUUGAAAUUCCCACCUUAACGCCACG
Long non-coding RNA from Callorhinchus milii (elephant shark), 348 nucleotides. RefSeq lists it as uncharacterized. Lineage: Eukaryota; Metazoa; Chordata; Chondrichthyes; Chimaeriformes; Callorhinchidae. The transcript is spliced from 3 exons. The record is from RefSeq and is a predicted model, not a curated record.